Molecule: ribosomal RNA, 467 nt
Filed under: uncultured bacterium
Lineage: Bacteria
Description: partial 16S ribosomal RNA
Rfam family: Bacterial small subunit ribosomal RNA
Source: RNAcentral
ACGCACGCUGGCGGCGUGCUUAACACAUGCAAGUCGCACGGAAAGGCCCUGCUUUUGUGGGGUGCUCGAGUGGCGAACGGGUGAGUAACACGUGAGUAACCUGCCCUUGACUUUGGGAUAACUUCAGGAAACUGGGGCUAAUACCGGAUAGGAGCUCCUGCUGCAUGGUGGGGGUUGGAAAGUUUCGGCGGUUGGGGAUGGACUCGCGGCUUAUCAGCUUGUUGGUGGGGUAGUGGCUUACCAAGGCUUUGACGGGUAGCCGGCCUGAGAGGGUGACCGGCCACAUUGGGACUGAGAUACGGCCCAGACUCCUACGGGAGGCAGCAGUGGGGAAUAUUGCACAAUGGGCGGAAGCCUGAUGCAGCAACGCCGCGUGCGGGAUGAAGGCCUUCGGGUUGUAAACCGCUUUCGCCUGUGACGAAGCGUGAGUGACGGUAAUGGGUAAAGAAGCACCGGCUAACUACGUG